This 466-nucleotide ribosomal RNA is filed under the name uncultured bacterium. Its description in RNAcentral is "SSU rRNA". It matches the Rfam family "Bacterial small subunit ribosomal RNA", at positions 26 to 518 of the family's 1533-position model. The record is from RNAcentral.
AGGACUAACGCUGGCGGCGUGCCUAACACAUGCAAGUCGAACGGGGGUAGCAAUACCCCAGUGGCAGACGGGUGAGUAACACGUGGUCAACCUACCUCUGUGUGGGGGAUAACUAGCCGAAAGGUUAGCUAAUACCGCAUACGAUCGUUUUGAGGCAUCUCGAGACGAUGAAAGGAGCAAUCCGCACGGAGAGGGGACUGCGUCCCAUUAGUUAGUUGGUGGGGUAACGGCCUACCAAGACUCCGAUGGGUAGCUGGCUUGAGAGAGCGACCAGCCACACUGGAACUGAGACACGGUCCAGACUCCUACGGGAGGCAGCAGUGAGGAAUUUUUCCGCAAUGGGCGAAAGCCUGACGGAGCGACGCCGCGUGUGGGAUGAAGGCCUUCGGGUCGUAACCACUGUCGAAGGGGACGAUAUUGACGGUACCCUUGGAGGAGCCCCGGCUAACUACGCGCCAGCAGCCGC